CUUUCAAAUAAAAAAACAGGGUCCUUAUUUCAUGUUUACCCAGACAAGCUUCAGAAAGCUAUCAAAAGCUGAGUUCUAAUAUUCAAGUUAGCACACAAAAG
Gopherus evgoodei (Goodes thornscrub tortoise) is the source of this 101-nucleotide long non-coding RNA. RefSeq lists it as uncharacterized. Lineage: Eukaryota; Metazoa; Chordata; Testudines; Testudinidae. The transcript is spliced from 3 exons. The record is from RefSeq and is a predicted model, not a curated record.